UACGUAGGGUGCAAGCGUUAAUCGGAAUUACUGGGCGUAAAGCGUGCGCAGGCGGUUCGUUGUGUCGGUGGUGAAAGCCCCGGGCUUAACCUGGGAAUGGCCAUGGAAACUGGCGAACUGGAGUGUGGCAGAGGGGGGUGGAAUUCCGCGGUGUAGCAGUGAAAUGCGUAGAGAUGCGGAGGAACACCGAUGGCGAAGGCAGCCCCCUGGGCUAGCACUGACGCCUCAGGCACGAAAGCGUGGGGAGCAAACAGG
RNAcentral lists this ribosomal RNA (255 nucleotides) under uncultured bacterium. RNAcentral's name for it is "partial 16S ribosomal RNA". It matches the Rfam family "Bacterial small subunit ribosomal RNA", at positions 524 to 776 of the family's 1533-position model. The record is from RNAcentral.